GACGAACGCUGGCGGCGUGCUUAACACAUGCAAGUCGAACGAAGAACCUUCCUUCGGGAGGGGGACGAGUGGCGAACGGGUGAGUAACACGUGGGCAACCUGCCCCUCGCUCUGGGAUAACCCCGGGAAACCGGGGCUAAUACCAGAUAUUCAGCUCCGCAGGCAUCUGUGGAGUUGGAAAGGAUUCUGGCGAGGGAUGGGCCCGCGGCCUAUCAGCUUGUUGGUGGGGUAAUGGCCUACCAAGGCGACGACGGGUAACCGGCCUGAGAGGGCGACCGGUCACACUGGGACUGAGACACGGCCCAGACUCCUACGGGAGGCAGCAGUGGGGAAUAUUGCGCAAUGGGCGAAAGCCUGACGCAGCAACGCCGCGUGAGGGAUGAAGUACGUCGAGAUGUAAACCUCUUUCAGCAGGGACGAAGCGAAAGUGACGGUACCUGCAGAAGAAGCGCCGGCUAACUACGUGCCAGCAGCCGCGGUAAU
RNAcentral lists this ribosomal RNA (483 nucleotides) under uncultured bacterium. RNAcentral describes it as "bacterial SSU rRNA". It matches the Rfam family "Bacterial small subunit ribosomal RNA", at positions 28 to 524 of the family's 1533-position model. The record is from RNAcentral.